RNAcentral lists this long non-coding RNA (879 nucleotides) under Prunus dulcis (almond). Its description in RNAcentral is "sRNA ncRNA". Lineage: Eukaryota; Viridiplantae; Streptophyta; Magnoliopsida; Rosales; Rosaceae. The record is from RNAcentral.
AUGACUAAUCCCACUUCCAACACCGAUGGAGAUAACCCCUCUCCUGCUCCCACCGUACUUCCAUCUCCCAUUGUGACCUCCAUGCCCGUUGUCAUCAACAUCAAAUUAGAUCGAUCUAACUAUCCACUCUGGCUAGCAUAGAUCGUUCCCAUCCCGAGAAGUCAAAACCUCAUGGGGUUUGACGACGGUACCUGUGUCUGUCCACCACCCACUCUUACUGGAGGCACUGCGGCCAAAACUGCGUACUCUACCUGGAUUCAACAGGAUCAGCUGAUCCUCAGUUGGAUCAAUAGUUCCCUUACACCAUCCGUGUUGUCUACUCUAUCUAGAAAUCAGAAUGCUCACACACAUCCUGGCAAGCCUUAGAGAGUAGAUAUGCCUCCACGUCCCAGAACAGGAUUUUGCAUUUGCGAAAUGAAUAUUCAGAACCAUGAAGGGUGAUUUGUCUAUCAAUGACUACCUCGAUCAAAUGAAUGCCAGUGCAGACAACCUGGCUCUUGCUGGAAAGCCAGUCAAUGAUGAUGAACUUGUUCAGAUUAUCAUGAACAGCCUUGGUCCAACUUAUGAUAUGAUUGUCAGUGCAGUUCAAGCUCGUGAUACACCUAUCACUUAUGAUACUCUUGAAGCUCUUCUCUUGACGGCUAAACGUCAGAUGGUGGAGCAAGUUGUUCUGAUGCCGAAGAAUGGACCAUCGGCUUUUGUUGCUGCUUGUGGACACGGUGGUUUCCAUCCUCGAAACUUUGGACGUGGUGCUGUUUCGCCCACUCGUGAAGGCUUUCCAAACCAGCGAGGGGGUUCUUCUCGUGGUACUUUUUCAACUCAGCAUACUACCAAUUUGGGGAGUCUUCAGCAUCGGCUACUCCAAGAAUUGUUUGCUAG